GAGAGGACGAUCGGCUCAGACGUGUCACAGGAUCUCAGACACACACUCUGAAUCUGCUUCAACAUAAACUGAAACAAAACAAACCAACAUGUGAGCGUCAUGCAUGUGGACCUGCACAGAGCUGAAGCCUGAUGGGUUCUGGACCCAGCCACAGGGAAGAACCAGUUACAGAGAGCCCCCCCCCAUCACAGCCCUGCAACCACUCUGAAUCGGAUUCAGUGGACUCGUCUCCACGUCCUCCUGCCAUCCUCAUCACGGCUCCGUCCCGAGAGAACCUCCAUGUCUCCACCUCCACCAUGACGCUAGCCGACUCCGCCAAAGAGCGGAGGCCGGCCUCCACCCCCUUCGUGGUGGGGAAGAAACCAGUGACCAGUCAGUGACUGGAAACCUCCUGUCACACGAGGUCAACUGAGGAUCAGGGUCAGAGCGAGGGCCACAGACAGUGUGGAGAGUCGGUACUUCAGAGAGAAGCCCCCCCCCCCCCCCCGUGAGAACAGACGUGUCUCUGGGUCAGUUGGUCGUCUCCUCUCCUCAGCCUGUGAACCUGAUUCCAACCUUCACACAACAAACAAGCGGCUCCUCCAGCAGAGAGCCACAGCAAAGUGUGAACAGGAGGAAUCUGAAUCAGAAGAUGAAGAUGAAGAUGAUGAUGAUGAGCAUGAAGAUGAUGAUGAUGACGUGGUUCCUCCGUCCACACGGGGAACCUGGAUCUGCUCCUCAGCACGUUUCAGUGGAUUAAGGACGAUUCAGAUUCAAACCGUUCACACAGAUCAGAGCAGGACUGAAGUGUUCAGUAGAACUUUGACCUGCUUAUCAGAACAAUAUAAAUAUCUUCAAUGUUUCUGGAUUAGUUCUUAAAUCCAUAAAGCUGCUAAUGUCUGUGCUUGAAGGAAACUGGACUUUACAAACAGGCCGAUGUGUUCUCCUCUCGUUUGGACCUGAACAUCCAAACGGUCUGUGCAGGAGGAAGUCGCUCGGACUCGACCUGGAUCUGCGUGGAGAGAUCUGAUCGUCACUGAACGGCUUCUGAGUCAAGUCGUGAAUCUGCUGAUUGUUUGUUAAAGGAACAGUUCAACAUUCUAGGAAAUAUGUUUAUGUUUUGGGCGGCUGUAGUAAGGGGUAGAGCGGUCGUCCUCUAGGUCGGCAGUUCGAUCCCCAGUCUUCCCCAUCUGCUUGCCGAAGUGUCCUUGGGCAAGUUGCUGCCAACAGAUGGAUUGUGUGAAUGUGUGUGUGCAUGUAUGUGUGUGAAUGUCAAACUGCAAAGUGCUUUGAGUCAUCAAGUCUAGAAAAGAUCUUUAUAAAUAAAAAACAUUUACCAUUGAUUCUGUUUGAGGAGGAUGUGUUCAGGGACAUCGUGGAGCUGUAGGUCAUCUGAGUUUCAUCAGUUCACCUGGUUCUGUCCAACAAGGCCCUGUUCACACCUGGAGUUAACAUCUGUCCCGUGUGAUUCUAACACAGAGGGCAGCUCUAGGUUCAGGUGUGAAUGGACCCAAGACGUAUUGAGGACACAUCUGCUGAUCUGAAAUACUUUUACUUGAUUUCUGGAUAGUGACAGGAAGUGAAGCAUCUUUGUUUACAGUCUUUGUUUGUAUGGUGUUGAACUUUUCCUUUAAGAGCCCAAAACUGUAGUUUACUGUAAAUAAACUGUGAAUAAACUGUAAAUCAACUGUGAAUAAACUGUGAAUAAACUGUGAAUAA
Long non-coding RNA from Platichthys flesus (European flounder), 1698 nucleotides. RefSeq lists it as uncharacterized. The transcript is spliced from 3 exons. NCBI's taxonomy places the organism in Eukaryota, Metazoa, Chordata, Actinopteri, Pleuronectiformes, Pleuronectidae. The record is from RefSeq and is a predicted model, not a curated record.